Molecule: transfer RNA, 72 nt
Filed under: Nesolagus timminsi (Annamite striped rabbit)
Lineage: Eukaryota; Metazoa; Chordata; Mammalia; Lagomorpha; Leporidae
Description: tRNA-Gln
Rfam family: tRNA
About the family: Transfer RNA (tRNA) molecules are approximately 80 nucleotides in length. Their secondary structure includes four short double-helical elements and three loops (D, anti-codon, and T loops).
Source: RNAcentral
UAGAAUUUAGUGUACUUGGUAGCACGGAGGAUUUUGAGUUCUUAAGAGUAGGUUCGAGGCCUAUGAUUCUAG